ACAGAUUGUAGAAAUUAUAAAUUAAAAGAAAAUUUUCAAAUACCACUCAUGUGGUUUUAUAUUUUCUCACUUUAGUACUGACUUAAAGUGUAUUAAUUUAAUGUCCCGUAGUUUUAUUUUUAUCUUUUUAUUAUUGAUUUUUCUAAUUUUUUUCGUUAAAGUAGUGACAAAGUUCGAUAAAUUUAAAUAGGAUACCUGAAAUUUUUUGUACAUAAUUUAUCGAAAUAUUAAUAGAAAAACUAACGAAAAAAUAAAAAUAAAAAUACAGAAUAUUAACUUGAUAUAUUUUAAAUUAUAUAGUGCUAAAGUGAAAAAAAUGUGAAACCACGUCAGUCAUAUUUAAAAUUUAAAAGUGAAUAAUGACCUUUACUUUUUCAGCAUCAAUUUUCACUGCAGCGUUAAUUAAAGUAAGUGCGAAAAUAAUACAGAACCAAAGGCAACUGUACGUACUGUUGUUUCUUGUGCCCAAAGUAGAACAGCUAGCAAAUAAUCGAGACGUAGAUCUCUUAUUUGAAAAAACAAAAAACGGAUUAAACGAUUGCAUUAAGAAUAAAGAACGGAGACCGUAAUCUUAUUCAACAGCAACAACAUGCAUGCAGCAGCCAAUCACCAAAACAUGCAUAAUCGCCAAAACGACCAAGACAUGUUUCGUCAGAUCAGGAAUCAAAAGAUUAAUUUAGACUCAGCAAUACAUCUAAGCUCGUCCCGGAGGAGGAGUGACGACUCUGAAGGGAGCCGCGAACUGGAGGAGCUCCUCGUCUUUCUCGAACUCGGCCAUCUCGCUCUCCUCCAUCGUCACCCACACUUCCACGCCUCUCGGGUCCACCUCCGGCGACCGCGGCAUGAGCACCGACAGGUUUCGAACCCGCGCGGUGGUCCCAACCCAGGCCGGCCUCCCCCACCCGAAGUCGACCUCGUACAAGGGGAGGCUCAGCCAGGAGCUGAAGAAGUAAUGGUCGAAGCCCUCGAACCCCCGGCUGCGUAUCACCCCGUCCACGAUCAGCGCGUAGGCCGACGAAUGCCCGUCCGGCGCGCGCAGCUUCCGGGUGUGGUCGGCGUUCAUCAUCUUCGCCGACCGGCCGAGCUCCUCCUCGAGAACGCCCCUCGCGGCGCCGCUCCGGGCCAGGACGAGCUCCACCGUGGCCUUCGCGGCCGCGGCUCCCGCGGAGAAGCAGCGGUUGCCGAAGGAGGCGUUGGGCGCGGGGGGCGCCAUGCGCGGGCGCGUGUCGACCAGGAGCGACGCCACCGAGGCCCGCGCGGGCGGAGGGCGCGCGCGCAGCGCGCAGCGCCACAGCAGCGCGCACACGGCCUGGACUCGCGUGGUCGAGCUCGGGAGCCCCGAGCGGAGCGCCGCGACCUCGGGCCCGGCGAUCACGAAGCCCUUGCGCACGAGCGGCGGCGCGCCGGGGGGCCGCGCCUGGUCCUCCUCCGGGACGACGUCCUCGCUCGGCGGGAAGAGCGCGGCGCCGUCGAAGACGGGGUCGGGUGCGGCGGAGGCCCAGGACUGGAGGAAGAGGAAGAGGGAGCGGCCGUCGAGGAUCUUGUGGCAGGCGCAGACGCCGAGGGCGAGGCCGCCGCAGCGGAAGGCGGUGGCUUGGACGGAGAGGAGGGGGGCGCCCUCGGCGCCGGCGGCGGAGCAGGAGCGCGCGCAGGGGAGGAGCUUCUCGACGUGGUGGAGGCCGCGGAGGCCGCGGAGGAAGUCGGCGAGGUCGGCGUCGGCGCGGGCCUCGAGGAAGCGGGCGCCCGCGUCGCAGCAGCGGACGUGGGUGUUGAGGACGAGCUCGCCCGCGAGCGGGUAGAAGCGGGAGAGCGCGCGGGGCAAGGAGGACUUCAUGGCCCGGAUGCGCUCGGCGGCAGGUGUUUGGGGGGAGCCCCGGUAGAAGAAGGCGACGGGGAGGUGGUAGACGCGGGCGAGCUGGUCGGCCCACCCCAGCGUGUAGCUCCGGAGCUCCGGCGGGGUGGGCGUGGACGGCUUGAUAGUCUCCAUGGACACUACCUCAGCCUCAAACUCCAAACUUUCGUCCAUUGUUUCGUGCUCGCGCGAGUACACAGAUCGAUGGAGAGAGAGACAGAGAGGGAGGACGCCGGGGACACGGGAAGUCACUAAAAAAAAAAAAAAAAAANAAAAAAAACACCUCCCGAUGUGAUAUUCGGCAGGGACGCAAAGGGUGCGGAUCAGGAUCAGGAUGGGAGAGUGCGGACUAUUUUUUAUUUUAUUUUUUACGAAUUAUUUUUUAUUUUAUUUUUUUUUUGCUCUUACUUACAUUCUUAUUUGGAUUGAGAAUUUUUAGCGAAUUUUUGACGAAUCAACAUUCAACACAGAUUAAAAAAAUAAAAAUUUUGUUUCUCAUUUUAUUUACUUGACAGAUCGAAACGAAUUCAUGACGAAUUAUAUUUUUUUAUAUUUUUUGUUCCUACUUAUCCUCUCAUUCGAGACAAAUCGAGGCAGGAGCGCUCCACCAACCCGGAUCCAUCUGUGUCCCUACUACUCAGGAGCACGAUGUCUCCGUAUUUAUUUUUUAUUUGGCUAAAUUCCCAAACUAUAAGACGUAUAAUAUAUAUUUUGGUUCUCAAAGUUUAAUCUUUUAUAUUUUUAGCUCAAUUUUUUAAAAUUGGUUACAAUCAAGAUUCAUAACCUAAUUUACUUAAACCCUUUUAUUUAAACAUAUAACAAUAAAAUAAUUUAAUGCAACUCAAAUAUUUACUUCAAAUUUUAAAUUUUAAAUUUUAAGUUAUUAAAUUUAAGCGCUCUUACAUGUACCCCCAUUCCCCAAUGAAGUAUUGAAGUGUAUCUUAUAAUACUAUUGAUUAUGUGACAAUAUUAUUAUUACACACUAAUUAUUAAUUACUAAACUUCAAAUAUUAUUAAUAGACCCCAUGUGCAAUUCUAAACUUUUUAAUCCCUCCAUAUAUGCAUGUAAACUUAUCGAUAAAAUUAUAUGUACUCAAAAAUAGGAAACCCAAACCAUUUCUCGUUAAAUUUUAUCUUAGGCCAAAUUACAGAAAAUUUUUCUCUAAAUAGUUACCUUUUUACCUUUUCUUUUUAAUUUUUAAAAAUAUACAUUUUGGCCCUUUAAGAUUUGAGAAAUAUUUUUAAAAAGGUAUGGUGUUAAUAGAGAGAGUAAAAUGACAUAUUAUCAUUACUUCUUUAUAAAAAAAAUAAUUUUUUAAUAUAUAUAUGUUAUUUUGAAGAAUAUUUUCUGUAUAAAUUAGAAGAAAUAGACGGAACAAUGAUGAAACUUGAUGGAGGGAGGUUAAAUUGAAUAAUUUGAAAUGUUGGAGGAAAAAAAAUAUAAUUUUUAAAAGUUAUAGUAAAAAGUGGAAAAAAAAAAAGUUUACCUAUAAGGUUUCAAUAAUUUAGCCUUUAUCUUAUCUUUGGAUUAUUAACUUUUAGCUUUUAAUACCCUUUUAAAUGUUGAUCAUCCUCUAGUCUUGCACUAACAUUUAAUAUAGCCUCGUAAAUAUGACCAUACAGUUACUGCACUAACAUUAAACGCGGAGAUCGACUGUCCCUAGAAUAAAGUGACAAAGAGUUUGACGGUUGGUACCCGAGGUUUCAAGUUCGAAUUCUAGUUGAUUCAAUUAUUAUCUAAGUUUAUUUUUAAAUAAAAUAAACAAAACAGAUAACGCGAGUUACGUGAUAUCUUAAAAAAAAAAAAAAAAAAAAAAAAGCACUGAGUGCAGUGCAAGGAACAUUGGCGAGUGGUCAUUGAUUGAUCUGUCCACAGCAAAUAAUAUCUUAUCCCAACUGUGCUUUAGAAUAAAUAUUGUGCUCAGAAUCAAUAGGAAUCACGUGCAAAGGAAUAGUCUAAAUAGAAAAUGAAUAUAAUAACCUAAAAAAAAAGUUUCAUCUUUGUGCCUGAAAAAGAUAAUAGCUAGAUAUCUUUUCAAAUUAAUUUGGAAAACAUGUAUGUAUAUAUAUUGAAUCCUUCUGAUCGAGUUUAAUUUAAUUGAUCCGACUAAUUUUAUAUAAACGUUUAAGAUAUUGGAUUUAGUCACUUGACAAAUUUUGCUAAUUAAUAUCAUUUUAGAACACAAGAAAUAGGUAUUCAAAUAUUAUUAUUUUUUGUGACUAUGUUAUUGAAAUUCGGAUAAUGUCAUUCACUUGAUUUUUAUCAUAUAUGGAGUAGCGUUAGUGUGCUAUUAGGAGUACGGUGGCUUUCGUGCUUAAUUUUGUGCUAUUUUUAAUUAUGGAACUUUCGAAUUGACGAUCGGUUUCGCUAGAUUUGAUCUAACGUAUUUGAAGUACCAAAAAAAUAAAUGUUAUGAUUUUUUGAUAUAAUUUAUUUAUUGAUCAAAAGGGUUAAUUAAAAAUCAAUUUAUUUUUAAUGGUUGAUGUGUAUGCUAUUUCUAUCGGAUAAAAUUUUGAUAGAAAAAUUUUGUACUAACUACAGCAUGAUCAAAAUCUUUGAUCGAAAUUUUUAGUACUAUAUUAUGAUUUUUUAUAAGAUUUUUAUUUUUAGCCAUCCAUAUUUAGUUAUUUCGAUCACUAGGUAAAUAAUAUCGAAAAUCUACAAAAUUUAUUUUCUACAUACUUCAAAUUUGCUAGAUCAAAACUAACGGAGCCGAUCGUCGAUUUAAAAUUUCUAUCAUCGAAAAUAGAUUUGAAGCACUGAAACCUCCAUAAUCCUAAUCGUACACUAGUCCUACUCUCUCUCUCUCUCUCUCUCUCAAUAUAUAUAUAGAAUUAUGCUACUAUACUAUCAAUAGUACCAAGUUCUUGGUACUAUUGAGUUUUCGGCCGUUGAAUGAANAUAGAAGCUCAAUUCUAUAUAUAUAUAUAUAUAUAUAUAUAUAUAUAUAUAUAUAUAUAUAUAUAUAUGUGGCUACGAAAAAGUGAAUGCGUCUAAAUUUCGGAUCACCGAUAUUGAAUGAUGCAAGAAAAGUUUAUUAGCCUCGAUGGAAUGCGACGAUCGGAGGGCGUUUCAUUUUUGGUGUUUCGAAUUCGAGCGCCAUUAGAUCAUAGAGCACGUUCAAUAACUUGGUUAUUUGUUUUUUGAGUGAAAAUUAAGCAAUUAGACUACAAAACAUUCAACUGAAAAGAGCUUAGAUCGGAGAGUUUCAACCACAUUCAGAAUUAGUACAGCACGAUCUCACGCGCAUCAUAAAAUUCAUCACCUGUCCGUCUUUAACAGUGAUACAAACUUAUAAAGACAUAAUUUUGGAUCCUUUCAAGAACUACUGUGGAAGCCGGAAACAUCACAACGUGUGAAAACCAAAGUUUAAAGAUUUUCUAAGAAUAAAUAUAAUCAGUAAACCGAGUAGCCAUAGGCAAGAGACUAAAAGUCACUUAGCUUUUUAGAUUCUCUAAAAACAAUAAAUCAUGAGUCUUUGUUCGCAAUGAUAAGGAGUCUUACUUCUUCGCUAAGCCCCGAUCUCAAAAAAAUAUUAUAUUCCAUUUCUGUAAGUAUACAGUAGAUCCGAACUAGUAAGAUUGUCGCGAGCGUUUGAUUUUGCCAACUUAGUUGCGAUUCUAUCAUCGAGAGACAAGAACCAUACUAUUCACUCCGUAGCUAGCCGAAGAGCCAAAUGAGCUCUCCAACUUCUUCUCCCUUCACGAAAAGGAAGCUUCUUUUUGUGAUUAGAAUAAUUAUAAGGAGUCCGCCUGGGAUACUAUCGAUUAUAUUAAGGAUUUGAUGCUAUCGAGUUUUCUACCGUUAGAUUUAAUCAUUUGAUUAUUUUUAUCCGUUAAAUUAUAUUAUUCAAUCAACCACUCACUCAACCCUAGAGUGUCUACAUCAUCCUAACCACACAUUUUUCAAUCCAAAGGAUAAAAAAUUAAUAGCACCAAUAGCUUGGUGCUAUUGAUAGUAUUUCAGUCUAGUUCUAAUUAUGAGUAUUUACGAGCUUUUUAAGAUUCUAUUAUUGAGGAAUGAGGAUGGCCCAAAAUGCAUAAUUAAUAACAAGAAGUUGUGCUGCACUGAGUUAGCACUAGAAUAGCAGAAAUUUUGGUUGAUUCCUCAAAUAGUUAAUGAAAGUGACAGGCACUGCAAGAUUGUUGCCCAGACAUUGGCAUUUCCUUCAUUUUUUGUCUCACAUUGAAAGUUUUGCCUGGUGAAAAAUGCUUUGGUACAAAGAUAUUAUCUGUACUAAUUAUUGAUCGGUAAAAAUGUUAGUAAAGAUCAUGCAGAAAUAACUAUUUAACUUGCACUUACUACCGAUAACCUCGUUAAGCGAGGGUGGACCAGAGACACAGUCUGUGUGCUCUACAGGGCCCACGAUGAGUCAGUGGACCAUCUAUUCACUCAAUGCGUUUUUACCAAGUACACCAUAGUGAUGGGACUCGAGGACGUUCGGGCGGAGGAAGUAGGUGACGGCGUGCUUGUAGUUUGGGAUAAGUAGAUGGGUGGAGCUACGGUGCGCGCUAGGAGGAAUGGACUUUCAGAAUUGGUCGCAUACUGAUGGACGAUUUGGAAGGCCCGGAACAAUCAUGUUUUUUGUAACCUACUGUUUGACCCUGAUUUAGCCGUUCAAAGGCUCAAGGCACUCCUAACUUCGUGGAAAGAUCUGCUAUGAAUUUUUUUUUUUUUUUUGGGGUGUUGUUUUUCUUGAGGUUCUUGUUGCCUCACCUCUGUAGUCAAAUUUAUCUAUUCAAUAAAUGAAGCAGGUAGCGUGCUACCUAUUCUCAAAAAAAAAUACUUCUUAUUUUGAUUACUACAGAAAUAUUCAUUUACUUGAUUUUAUGUUUUGUAAUUAUGAGAAACUAUUGUGUACACUUGGUGUACUAGUACAUUCUAAUGCUGCAUUUUUAUUGAUUAUUUGUUUUAUUUGAUUUUUCUAUCUCUAGCAGCCGAUAUGUUGUCGUUUUUUAGUUAAAAAUUGAGUAAUUGAAUUAACAACAUGAACUGCAGUAAAAAAAAAAAAUCUAUACAACAUUUUCAAAACAUGUUUACAAAAAAGAAAAUUUUCUUUUAGUACGAGCAUUAACAUAUUAAUUAAUAAUAUACAAAGAUAAUAUUCUGGAGAGCUUAUUGUUGUAUUGCUCUAAGUAAAAAAAUAGUAAAUGCUUUGGAUUAUCUUAACUAUCAUCCUUUCCGGUCACUACAAUAUAAUUGGUUAAUUAUUUUGUUGUUAAAUAUUGUUAGUACUCAUAAUAUAGAGCAUUCCGAUUGAUUUAUAGAUUCAACUCAAAACAUAAUGUGUAAUUUUUUCAAAAAAAAAAAAAUAUUAAGAACCUAUAUAAACAAUAUUUUGGAGGACUCUAGGGAAUGGGAAAAUUUUUAUCACUGUACGAUAAGUUUUUCGUUUGUUUUGUUAAGUGAUACUAUGAUGGACAUAUCGCAAUGGAUAUAUUAAUUACGGUUACUCCAAAAAAUAUAUAUUUUUACGUCCUCAACCUCAUUAUAUAUAUAUAUAUAUAUAUAUAUAUAUAUAUAUAUAUAUAUAUAUAUAUAUAUAUUCCGAUCAUUGAUUAUUAAUCUUUAAAAUGAUUAAAUUCUCAUUAUCUUCUCCCUCCCCAUGCUUGUCCAGCCCAGAAAAACUUGCUUUUUAGCCCGGGCUCAUGCGAUACCCACUUUGGGCCCGAUCCAAUAACGGCCCAAUAUCGAUGGGCUUGGGUUUUUAUGCCUUGUUGAGGCCCAAUCCUAGUAAACCCAAAAGGCCAAUUGCUUGGUUAUUACUAAUUGGUCUAAGUCGUCAGGAACUUAGAAAAAUUUCGGUUCCACCCAAAUCCGUAGUACGGAUUUUUGUGAGCAAAAUUACUAAGUCCGUGACAAAGCGCUUGUUUAGCUCGGCUCGUGCAACAUCUUUUCCGCGUAGAGGAAGAUGCUUAGUAAACGAAAAAAAAAGAAAAGAAAAAAGACAAGAGUUUCGGAUUUUGGUCUGUAGUUCUAGACUACUGGCGAAUUUUAAUUUAUGAUUAUUUCAAAUAAACUUUAAUUUUUUUGAACAUAGGUUAGUUUAUUGGUUAUUAAAGAUUUAGAUAAAUUCAACUAUUAUUUUGUUAGAUCUAACCAUAAAUUCUAAAUACAGAUUUCGUUAACUGUUAAGGCUAGCAGCUAAUAACAAUGUUAAUUUUAAAAUCCUCAAUUAAUUCUCAAAAUUCCAACUAAAAAAAUGUUAAAAAGCAUUUACUAAUAAGUCUAUUUUUAACCUGGUCUAUUGGUAAGGUGUCCUCAUUAAUUAAUUAGUUAAAAAAAAAAAAAAUGUUCAUCCACAGUAGCGUACUCCCCGUAACGCCAUCACCAUCACGCUUGCUAGAUGUUCAAACUAUCAAUCUAGAUGUUCAAAGAGAAGUUAUUGCCUGCACCUGUUGUUUAAGGAGUACGUCUGGUAUACUUCUAGAAGCACGGAGCGCUCCGUGCUUCCAAGUUGUUUUCGAUGUUGGGACUUUCGAAUUGACGAUCAGCUCCGUUAGAUUUGAUCUACAGUAUUUUAAGUAUUUAGAGAAUAAAUUUUGCAAUUUUUUGAUAUCAUUUGCCUAGUGAUCGAAGUGGCUUAAAAUUAACGACUGAAAAUAAAAAUCUUACAAAAUAUGAUGAUAUGACAUUAAAAUUUUAGAUCAAAAAUAUUGAUCUUGUUUUCUAUAGUAUAAAGAAUUUUCUAUCAAAAUUUUAUGUGAUUUGAAUAUUUCUACACCGCUAAACUUGCAAAUGGCACACCAUGGCCAUUAAAAUUAUUGAUUUUGAGCCUCUUUAAUCACUAGGCAAAUGAUAUCGAAAAAUCACAAAAUUUAUUUUUUACGUACUUCAAAUACUUUAGAUCAAGUUUAACGGAGCCGAUCAUCAAUUCGAAUAUCCCAAUAUCGAAAACGAUUUGGAAGCAAGAAAGCUCCGUGUUUCCAGAAACAUACCAGUUUACUCGUUGUUUAAGUACAAUUAAUACACCGCACCGUCAAAAUUCUAUCAUAAAAAAGUCUACCGUAUCAAUUGAUACAGUUACACUCUAUUUGCAAUUCGAAUUGUAGCAGUUUGAUUCGAGUAUAUCAAACUAAACAAUAUACUUACAUCAAUAUGCAGUUAUAAUUCCAGUGGCUAAAUUACGGAAAACCCUCCUGUCAAAACUUGCUUUUUCACUUUCCCCUCCUGUCAUUUAAAAAUCUAUACUUUGCUCCCUUAUAAAAUAAAAAAUGUUCACAAGGGGGUAUGGUGUGACAAAAUGACCAUUUUGUCCUUCGCCAUUUUCGUCUUCUCCCUCAUCCUCCUCAUCCGCGGCGGAGGAGGCCGACCUCGGGCGGGACGCAGGCGACGACGCCGUCGUCGAGGAGGACGAUCUCGUUGAGGGUGUCGGCCAUGCGGCCGAUGGAGGGCGGGAUGCAGCUGCCGAGUUUGUUGUGGGCGAUGACGACAAUGGAGGCCGGGGAGUCGCCGAGGUUGGAGGGGAUGGGCCGGCGGCGGCGGAGGCGGUUGGAGUUGAGGAAGAUGGCGUCGAGGGGCAGUCGAAGAGGAGGUUGAGCUCGUGGAGGAGGGCGAGGCCGGCGAGGGCGCCGUCCCGGAAGCCAUCGAAGCAACAAGAAAGAGGGGCGGAGGGGUAUUUUUGGCAUAAAAAUAAAUAUUAUAACGGAAACCUAACAGAACCCUAACGGUAGGAGGUGAAGUGCACAUUUUUUAUUUUACAAGGAGGCAAGGUGUAGAUUUUUAAAUGACAAGGAGGGAAAGUGAAAAAGCAGGUUUUGACAGAGGAGUUUUCUGUAAUUUAGCCUAGUUUUAAUUAUAUAUAACCAAAUAGUUUCUUAUUAGAUAUAUUUUAUUAGUUCAGCGAGAGUAAAAAAUUAAAUACAAAUAUUUUUAGAGAUUUUUCCAGGAUAAGUGAUAUGGCAAGAAGUUGUAGCAACUAACUUUCCAUUCACAUAAGAUGGAUAUUAAGUAGUUGGUGAUUCCAUCCUAUCAAUUAAUCAACAAAUACAAGUAGGAAUUGACCAACACUGUCUAACUGGAACAAAUAUUUUAUUUUUCAACUGGGGACUUGCAAAUGGAGACAGCCAGACAGGGAGCAAAGGCUUUUGGUAGAUGAUAUGCUUCUCUCACUUUGUCACCUGAUGACUUGUACAUCUAUUUAUUAGUGAACUAUUUUUAGAGUCCCGCUGCUAUACUCUUGUGACGACGUUCAUCUUCGUACUCAUAAAUUAUUUUCGAUGAUAGAGUUUUUGAAUCGACGAUCCAUACUGUUAAACGUUAUCUAGAUCAUUUAAAAUUUUUAGAAAUCAAAUUUUAUAAUUUUUUGACAUUAUUUAUCUUACGAUCAAAAGCUCGCAAAAUUGAUAAUUUUUAACGACCGGUAUAAAAUAGUUGCUAGUUUAACGAUAUAAAACAAUCAGAAUCGGUUAAAUUUUUGAUAGAAAUUUUAUUCACUAUUUAGAUAAAAGAUCAAUAACUCCGAUCUUAAAUUGAAGAAUUCAAUCAUCUAUGUUUAGGAUAUCAUUCUAUUUCGACUGUUUAUUUAUACCCAUCGAUGGAUUUUAUCGUGACUUUGAAAAAUUACGAAAUUUAUUUUUUAAAAAUUUUAAAUACUCUAUAUCAUAUUUGACGGAGUGAAUCGUCGAUUCAAAAUCUCCAUCAUCGUAAACGAUGAGUAUGAAGGGCUCUAUACUCGUAAGAGUAUAGUAAUCAUACUCCUAUUUUUAGGAAAAAUUUCUUCAAUACCCUUCCAAGCAGCUCUAAUUUCAUGAAUACCCUUCAAAAUUUUAAAAUUUCAUAUUUGCCCUUCAAAAGUAUGGAAAAGUUUCAAAAAUACCCUCACUGCUAGCAAUCUGUUAUAUUAGUUUCAAAAUACCAAUUGUACCCUCUAUUUUAAUUUAAUCACCACUCUCACAAAUUUUUUUUUGAAUAUAUGGAGACCCCCUCAAUUACAACCCAUUGUGAAAUAGCCUUCUAAAUUUAACUUUUUAAUUAAAGUCUUUAAAUUGAAUGAUUUUUUAUUAUAAAAUUAGAGAUUUCAUCUAAUCCAUUAAUGAUUCAAACAAAUUUAAUAAUUUUAAUAACUUCGUAGUAUAUAAAAUUAAAUAAGUUUCUGUUCAAAAAAGAAAAUUAAUAAAAACUUCAAGGAUUUAUUUAAAUGACCUAUAGUUGAUAGUUUUAGUAUAAAUAUCAAAAAAAUAAGUGAAAAAAAUUUGAUUUUUAAACAAAAAGUGAACAAAUUAAGGGUAAAAUGGUAAUUUCAUAUUUUGAAAUCAAAUAAAAAAAUGCUAUGCCGACAGAAGUUAGCAAAAAGUAAUGGCGAGGAUAUUUAUGAAAGAAAUAUUGUAUUUAGAGGGGUAUUUGUGAAAUUUAAAAAAUUAAAAGGGUAGUUAUGAUAUUUCAUAAUUUUGUGAGGGUACAAAUAAAAUUAACCCCUAUUUUUAUGUAUUCACCGGCAAACUGUACAAGCUGGUGGAUUGAUCUAGGUAGAUCAAAUCGGUGAAUGCAUUACUAGGAGCAUCUCGGCUAUUUAAUCGACAUAUAAAUAGCGAUUCUCUUUCCUUCUACUUCUGCAUGGCGGAUCUAAUUUUCGAGAGUAAGAUCUUAUCCAGAGCAUUCUAUUUUCUUAUCACAGUUUGAGUUGAUAAAAUUAGAAUAACGAUGGAGUUUUCUCUGAGUUUAGGAGAAUUUCCGCUAGUGUUCCUUUGGUACUCCUCUACGAGGCCAAAGGGGAAAGAACCAAUCUUUUUUUCUUUCAAAAAUUUUUGGCAUCGAUUUUUUUUUAGUUCUUUUUUUCCCCACUUUUGAUCCGACCUAACAUCUUACUGUGAAAUUGGUUUCAUAACCUACAGUACUAUGAUCUCAAAAUAUACUAUAACAUUACACAAUAAAUUUUAAAAUGCUAACUCCUGAUAUAUAGUUUUUAAGACUAUGAACAAAUAAUAAAUUUCAAAUAUUAUUUAAGUUUUUUAGAUAUUGCUCGUCACGUCCAUUAAUUAGAUAAUAUUAAUAAUCCAAUAUUUAGUGUGGUACAUAUGAUGUACGGAUGCACAGGGUUCGUGCAACAAUCUCUCAGUACGACCAGCGAAUAGGGGCCCACAAUCUGACCGACAUGCGCCAUCGAUCUACUCAAUGCGCUGCUUAAUUCAACUAAUCAUCAUUAAUAAAAACCAAACAACCCACACUUUUUAAAGCACCUGGGCUAUACUGCUACGUGUACCUUAGAAUGUACCCCAGAAUACUACGGCUUUUUGAAUGAUUUGAAAUUUUAAUCCGAUAAAAAUUUGAAGUUUAAAAGUUACAUUAAUUUUAAGGGCUCGAAAACAUUGAUUAACCGAUAACAUUUUGGUUCAUUUUGGAUAUGGAUGGUAAUAAUAGAAGUUACUUUUUUUGGAAUAAGAUUUAAAAUAUUUUUUUUACAGCUUAUUAUUUUACGGACUAGAUGAUCGAUAUACCUCAUCGUAUUUUCUUAUUUAUUUUAUUUUUAAAUUAUUAUUAAAAAUAUUAAAAUAUUAUAUUUUUAUUUGGUUUUUAAUGCUUCGCGUCAAUAUUUUUUUUUAUUUUGAGAGAAAGAUAGCAUGCUAUUCGUUUAAUUUUUUAAAAAAUAAAUUUUAUUGAAAAUAUAAAAUAACUAAACUUUGAAUUUAAAAUUUAUGUUAUAUAUGAAGUGAUCUCUAUAGUGUUUAAUCUUAUUUCCUCCUCUUCUCUGCUUGUACAGGUCAUAAUUUACUUUCAUUGUUGUAAUGGUUUUACAAGCUUAAUAAAAAUUUAGAAACAAAUUUUAUUUAAACAAAAAUCAUGUAAUUUAUAAUAUUAUAAAAUUUUAUUUAAUUUUUAGCGACAAAUCUUGUAAAAAGUAUAUAUAUAUAAAAAAAAAUAGGACACAACGUUUUGAAUCGCAAAAUAAUAAACCAAUGCUUAGCUUUUUUAUAUAUAUUUUUUUAUAGGAUCUCGUACCAUCACGGACAUGCUCUCUCAUCUAGUCAUCUCAUCAAAAACAUUCCAAAAAGGGCCGAAAUAAUAUUUGGUAUUGACGGGACAUUGAAAUUUAUCUAAUGUAAGAGUUACUUUUUUAUUUUUUAAAAAAAAUUAUAAAACUAAUAUGAUAAAAUUAGAUUAUUACAAUCCCAAUAAUAUUUUAAUUUUAAACUAAACAAAAAUAUGUAUGUGAUAUAUUCUCCCCCGCAAUCCCAACGAAAUUAAGCUUUAAACUUCUAAUCUUUUACCAGAAAAUGAGAAAAAAAAAAUUCUACUAAUCAAUUCGCAGGGUACCAUUAUUAGUCAGAUUAGAUUAGGAAGAUUAGAUCAUUAAAGAUUAAAUUAAGAAGAUAAGAAAGCGCUGCAGGGACAAGCUGGCACACCGCGCUCACCACCACCCUCACACUCACCAUCAGCAUCGCCACCGCCAACAACAGCAACAAAAAGAAGCGCCUUCCCCAUCCCCCCCCCCCCCAAUCCCGUGCUUCCCCCUCCCCUCUCCCAUGGCCCCACCCCUUUUCCCCCUCCCUCACUCCACCCAGAUUCCCACCCUAUCUCCCCCUCCUCUUCCGACGACGACGACGACGACGACGACGACGCCAUGCCCAGCGUAGGGAUCAAGCUCUACAGCGUCCUCUUCAAGCUCCUCCUCCGCCACCGCCUCCACCACCUCCCCGGCUCCGGCUCCUCCUCCGGCGGCGGCGGAGGAGGAGGCGCCGCCGCCGCCGGAGGAAACCCUUUCGGGGUAUCAUCACGCCCCGACGCCGAUGGCGUCGCCACCAAGGACAUCCACAUCGACCCCCUCACCUCCCUCUCCGUCCGCAUCUUCCUCCCCGAUCCCUCCCUCUUCGCCCCCUCCCCCCACCAGCACCCCCCUCUCCGCCGCAACAGCUUUCCCGCUCCGCCGCCCUCCGCUGCGGCCCCCGAUCUGUCACGCCGCGCCAGCUUCGGCGCCGCCGCGUACCGCGGGUACCUCCCCGCCCUCGAUGGGGGCGGGGGCCGGGGCCGCGCUGCGGCGGCGCGGCGGCUCCCCGUGGUGGUCCAGUUCCACGGGGGCGCGUUCGUCUCCGGGAGCGCCGAUUCGGCCGCGAACGAUCUCUUCUGCCGCCGGAUCGCGCGGCAUUGCGAGGCGAUCGUGAUCGCGGUCGGGUACCGGCUCGCGCCGGAGUGCCGGUACCCCGCGGCUUUCGAGGACGGGCUCAAGGUGCUCAAUUGGCUCGCGAAGCAGGCGAAUCUGGCGGAAUGCAGCAAGUCGAUGGGGAGCAUCAGGCUCGGGGCCGGGGGCGGCGCUGGGGCCGUGACCGCGAAGGCCGGUGUGCAACGCUACAUUGUCGAUGCCUUCGGGGCCUCGUUGGUGGAGCCGUGGCUCGCGGCUCAUGCCGAUGUCUCCAGGUUCCUUUCUGCCCUCCUGCUGUUCUUUAGCAUUGCUCGCGCAAUUGUGGUUUGAUCUGUAGAAUAUUCAUGGUCACUUUCAUUUUAUUGCAUCGUAGGAUAAAGAUGUGUAGUUUGUUUGAAUUGCAAAAUAAUACUGCAAACUAAAAAAACAAAAAAAUGGUGAUGUUGUAGGAUUAUGGUGAGAAUUAAGGGGUGGAAGCUUGUGCUCAAAAUUUUAUGCCCAUUGGUACCGGACUAGGUGAUGCAAUUGGUUAAAUUAGCUCUGAAUGCUUAUGACACGCCGAACAAUGUCUAGUACUGUAAGUUUUAAUAGCUUAAGGAUAGCUGAAGAAAGAGGGCUAAGAAUACGCCUUCUCAUUGUCUUCUUAUGUUCAUUUUGUACUUAAAUAUGUGGCUAGUUGAUUGCGCAGGUUCAAAGGUAUAACCAGUUAUUGCUACUUGCAGAAUAUAAUCCUAUGGAGUUUUAGCUGUGUUGAAUAUGAUGGUCUUGUGAGAUAUCUGUGAUCUUGUAUGUAUGUGCUUUUGAAAGUUGCUUGAAAUUGAAUAUUGUGUAGGAUUAUUAAACUAUAAAUAGGGAUUUCAUGUACGAAUGACGAGUAUUGCAGUCAAUGAAGUUUUUUUGAAGGAUUAACUGCAUACAUAGAUUUAGGAGGUUGCCAAUUUGUAUCAUGUUAAUGAUCAUGAGGAUAAUAAGCAUAGAAAUAUGAAUAACUGAAAGUCAGAAUUUGGAUUAAGGAGCACAAAAUUACUGCUAAAUCAAAUUGAGUUAGAAGAACAAUCUUUUGUUCCAUUGGCCGAUUUCCCAGGCUAGCUUGUUUGAUCGAUUGGGCGAUCUAUUGAUUUAAUCUGUGCAUGUUUCCAAACGAAGCAUCAUGAAGAACCAGGAAAAUAAAGUGGAGUUGCCCUCUUUGUUUUCUUGUUUUAUUUUCUCAUUGAGCACUGUUUGAAAAUGCGCGCCUGAGGCGCGCGCCUAGGCGCGAGGCGCAGGCCUCAGCGCCUCAGCAAUAGUGAGGAGCAGCACUAUUGCUGAGGCGCGCGCCUCCGGCCUGAGGUGCGUGCCUCAAGAGGCGCGAGGCGUGCCUGAGGCGCGCGCCUUGCAAUAUUUAAGUUUAUAGGGAUUUUUUAUUCAAGUUUUUAAGUUGUCGGAUUUUGAAUUUACAUCUUAUACUUUAACCUGAUAAGAUAUUUAAAAAAUCUUAAAAGAAAUUUUUAAAAAAUGUAAGUUUUCGGGUUGUCGGAUUUUGAAUUUGUAUCUUAUACUUUAAACCCGAUAAGAUACUUAAAAAAUCUUGAAAGAAACCCACAAAACUCUUAAAAAACCAGCCGCUCGCCCCCUCCUCUCCAUCUCUUGUUCUCCCACAUCCUCUCUCUGUCGAGCAUCCAACAGUAGCUGUGUUAGCAGCGGCAGCAAACCAGCGGUGGCCAGAACAAGCAACUAGCAGCAAUGGUAGUAGAAAAUAAGAAGCAGCUGCAGCAUAAGCAAAAACAUCAAAUUAAACUAUAUGCAUGUGUUUUCUUUACUCUUUGAUGGUUAUUUGGAAUUUAUUAAUGUAGAACAUCAAAUUAAACUAAACUUAGUAAAUGUGAGCCUCGCCUUCUUGAGGCACGCGCCUCGCAGUGCACCUCGCGCCUAGGCUCCAGGAGAGUCUUGUGCCUCUCCGCGCCUCGCGCCUGACUUUGACUGGAUCAGAAGCUAGAGAGAGAGAGAGAGAGCGCGCGCGCGCUUCAAUAUGCUGUCAGCUACUUGGCCUUGCUUGUACAAGAAAGAAAUGAUAUUUGAGGUCUAUCAUCAACUCAUGGAAUAUGAGAAGAAACGGGCAAUGGUGCAAUUUUGGAGAAAGAAACACAUUUUUGCUACCUCCUCCUUUUCCUUCUGUUCGGAAUAUCUAGCCAAUGACCGUCUAUGAUAUACUAAAACCAUUUCAUCAAUAUCUAAUGAAAUUUAAUGAAUAUAACACCUUAAGCAAAACAAAUUUAUGAUGGUGUUAACCUUGCUUCAACUAAUAUCAUGCUUUGUUUGAGCUUUCUCUUCAAUUUAUGUCUUCUUGGAUUUUGCCAGGUUGCAUUAAGGAAAAGUCGUUUUGAUUUCAUUCUUCUUGUGCUAUUAUCAUAAAGCAUCAUUUGAUUUCAAGUAUGACAUGGUGAACAUCUUAGAUUCAUUAGGAGAGAUAAUUCAGCUAGUGGCCCCCUUAAUACUAGAGCAUAGACACUGAUCGAGUUUAGGUUGAUGUAACUUGAUAGACACCGAUUAGGCAACUUUUUCACUGGUAUGCACAUUGAUAUACCUUAAGUUGCUUCUGUGCCAUAUAUGCCAAAUAGCAUGCCAACUAACAUGCACUGGCAAUUCUAAAGGCAAUACACAAGCUUAUAUCUAGUUCUUUAAUGUGAUUGAAGAUUUAUAACUUUUGACUAAAUAUUCUCUGCUUGAAUCUUUGUUUAAAAGCGACACACAAGUGAGGUCUAAUCCAUGCAGUGAGUAGAUAAACUCUAAACAUUAAAACAAGGUAUUACUAAACUCUGCCGUCAUAGAAGAAACAGAGAAGAAUGUGAACAUUUCUGUAUUAUCAAAAAAUUUUAAAAAAAAAUCUUUCGAAGCACUAUAUUAAGUGUACUAAUAUCAACCAAUUGCUAAUAGAUGGCACAUUAGAUGAUUGAUAUGUUAGACACUAACACUACAUGGCUAGCUUAAUUUUGGUACUCAUGUUAUGCAUUAUCCUUUUUAUGCUGUACCAAUGGUAACUUCUUCCUGAAGAAAAUAUCGUUUUUUUAACCCCUGUGCAAAUGCUUUUCUUACCUCUUUUUGUAAUAACCUAUUCAUGCUGUUGGUUAUUCUUUUGCUAUAAUCUGGCAUGUUUUGAAAUUGAUCCUUCAAUGUUGCUUUUCAAAUUUCAUGAAGUUGAUUAAUUCACUGGUUAUUAUUUUCCCUCUUACGAAGUGCUCCCUAUUCUAAAUUUCCUUCCUACUAUGCUGUAACAGGUGUGUUCUCCUCGGCGCAAGUUGCGGAGCAAACAUCGCAGAUUAUGUGGCCCGAAAGGCAGUCGAGGCUGGGAAGCUAUUAGACCCCGUCAAAGUGGUCGCGCAGGUUCUAAUGUACCCAUUCUUCAUUGGCAAUGUCCCAACUCAAUCGGAAAUAAAGCUAGCAAACUCCUACUUCUACGACAAGCCGACGUGCCUGCUUGCCUGGAAACUCUUCUUACCUGAGGAAGAGUUCAGCUUAGACCAUCCUGCCGCAAACCCUUUAGUACCUGGAAGGGGCCCGCCAUUGAAGUGUAUGCCCCCGACUUUGACUGUGGUCGCGGAGCACGACUGGAUGAAGGACCGCGCAAUCGCUUACUCCGAGGAGCUCCGGAAGGUGAAUGUUGAUGCGCCGGUCCUUGAAUACAAGGACGCAGUCCAUGAGUUUGCAACACUUGAUAUCCUGCUCAAGACGCCGCAAGCUCAGGCCUGUGCCGAGGAUAUUGCUAUAUGGGUCAAGAAGUAUAUAUCUUCUCGCGGACAUGAGUUCUCGUAUUAGAUAUUGUAGAUUAGACGGUACGGGUUUUUUCAAACCAUUUUAGGUAUUGGGAAAAGAGCUGGAACCUUCCUCCCUGAAGUUAAGUUAUUGCACGACGAAGGCUACGGCUACUGAUCAUUAGUACGUUCAACCACGCAGAGCUACAUUUGACGCAGUAAGAGAGAGCGCAGAGCUGCAUUUGAUGCAGUAAGAGAGAGAGAGCGAGAGGAAGGGAGAUACAGGGAGAGGAUGUAUUGAUCUGCUUUAACUUGUGUUAAUGACAGUCAAGUUCUUUGGCACGUGUUAUGCCAUUAAAUGCACGAACCAUUCUAUAUAAAUAAAUAUCCAUGAUAAUCCAAAUUCUCUUUUUCUUUAAAUGAUGAUAUCAACAGAUUUGGUUUUGAUAAUCUAUUUUGAUAUUGACAAGCGGAUUUAUCAAAAUUAAAUAAAUUUGACCUAAUUUAGUAAACCUAAUAUGCUUGCUUUCAAAAUCAUGCCCGUUGAUAUCACUUUGCCCUUUCUUCUUGUUUUCCUCUUGCUCUUUUCAUCUCCGUCUCUUCUAAGGCAGUAAAAUUAUCUAGUUCUACUCUAUGUGCUGCUUAGAUAUCAGCUUUGAAGAUACCCAAAAGAGUUCAUUUUAAUACACAACUAUAUAUAUAAGAAGAGAAAGAAAUAACAUCUCACUUGCUAACUAUAAGAAUUACCAAUAAAGAUAAUCACCAACCAACCAAUGAAACAGUAAUCUGAAACAAGCCGGAGAAAUACAUGGAAGGGAAACAAUAUAUAAGCAAACAACAACAGGAAGGUAACUAACAGUAGGCCUCUUCUCUUCAACCUAGUAGAAGAGUGAAAUUAGGAACGCGAGCCCGGCGAAGAGGGCGGAAGCGGUUGACGGGAUCUCGCGGAAGGCGGAGGAGCUACCUCCGCCACCUCCGCCACCUCCGCCACCAGCAGUUGGCGGGGGUGUGGGGCCGUCCGCAGCCAUUGCAGACGCGCUCAUCAGCAAUACCGCCAUGAAGAGCACCGCGGUGCGAACGGCGAGAGAAGAACUUGCAGUAGUUGCAGCCAUUUCCUUGAAGAGGUAGCAGAGGAGAUGAUACUUGCUUUGGUUACUGGGGUUUUGGUAUGAGGUGAGAGUUCUCUGCUCUGCAGUUUAUAACCUGGAGAUGAUUGAAUUGGUCAAGGUAUAGGGUUAUUGUUGAAAUGUCUUAUUCAAAAACCCAAAAAAAAAAAAAAGAAGAAGAAGAAAACAAUACCAAUACACAACUAAGAAAAUGGUGCCAUGUAACCAAAAUACAACAUUAGUGUGCUAGAUUAUUAUUAUUGGCUUUAUUCAACACGAAAUAGGCGACGACCAGAAGAAAACAACGAGGUAGCCGCCCAGUACGUAACGUAUGCAUAGUUCCCUUCAAAAUAUAUUGUCAAAGGUUACACCUAACAAAGCCUGGUAUAUAAAGAAGCUUCUAUGAUUGAGCUACAAAUGGGAGAGAGAGAGAGAGAGAGGUUAGAAGGUUCCACCUCAAUUUGUAAUAAUAAUAUAACUUACGUGGCGGUUCCGCCACCUGCAAACUGGUACCAAAAAAUAAAUCUAAUACAAAAUAAUUUUUAUUCACGUGCACAAUAUAAAUCGGAUGAAUUAUAUCAAAAGAAGAUGAAACACAGAAUUUUAAUUUAAGGUUAAUUGUAUAUUGUUUUCUGUAAAUAUAUUAAAUAGCAGAUAUGUUUCUAUAAAAUUUAACUUUUUAUAUUUAUUCCUACAAAAGUCUUAACGAUUUUAAAUAUCUUCAUGCUGUUACGAUCUUUAUACAGUUAACCAUAAAUAAAAUACUUAAUUUUGAUUAGUUAAUGAGAUAAAUUAACAUUUUUAUUCUUUUUUUAAUUAUUUGUGAAGGUAGAAAAAAAAAAUGACCACCGGAGAUUUUUGGGAGGAUAUUACUAUAUAAUUCUAGCAGUAAAUUACGUUUCUGAAAGGACAUAUUUGUGAUAGUAAAAGUGCCAUUGCACUUAUCUUUUAUCGAAAUAUAAAUAAUGCUUUAACGGUAACAAAUCAGAGAAGCGAAUGCGGAUAUUACUAGACUUUUGUAAAAAUAAAUAUAAAAAAUUAAACUUUGUAGAAAUAUAUUUACUAUUUGAUAUAUUUACAAAAAAUUGUAUGAAAUUAACUCUAAAAUUUGUGCUAUUGAAUGACGAAUACGGAAAUUUAAACUUAAGGAUUCUAAGAAAUUUAAACUUAAAUAUUCUACGAUAACUAACUAGCUGGUUUGCUAGUCCAAUUAGUUAACCUUUAAAACGGGGAAAUUUACGUAACGUGUCCAAAUAUAUAUCUAAUUACAUGUACAGAACUUUGGAAUUUUCUUUUGAGGAAAGAUAUACAUCCUUAUCAUAGACGAACAAAUUAAAUUACAAUUUCCACAUAUAGAACUUUUCUCCUUGGGUAAAAAAAAAAAUACCAGAAUUGUUACACUUGUCAACCAAUCAAACCCAGUUUAUUCUUUCAUUUUCUAAUUAAUUUAAUUAUUUGUCCUAUGUAACUGUAACAUUGACUUUUGUAAGUCAUUAAAUUAAACCAUCAAAAAGGCUUAGUUCUACGGAAAUGCUUAAUCGUCACGCAAACAAGCAUGCGGAAGAAGUCAAAGGUUGGAAAUUUAAAAAAAUUUAAAAUUUUAUAGAAAUCUAGUAUUUUUAUUUUUCAAUUUUUCUUUUACAAAAAAUAUAAAAAAAUAUUUUUCAAAAAGUUAGUUUCUUUAAAAGUAAACAAGNAAAAAAAAAAAAAAAAAAAAAAAAGGGAAUGAUUUUCGAUGCUGCGUAGAUGACAUUUGAGCUGCAGGUAAAUAUGAUAUUAGCAUUGUGUUUGAUACUGCAGAGAUUAUUUGGACAAAUUUUAUUGCUGAGGAGAAGAUCUAUGCAAUUCUACACGCUAUAAACAUUGUCACUUUCCUUUUCUGUUGUUGAACUACCAUUAACAGUGAUUCAAAAAAAAAAACAAAAAAAAACAGUUAUUAUUGUGAUUACUUGGGUGCAAUGAGUUGGACAAUUGCUGGCCUGGUGGCUGAUUGCAAUGUUAUUCUGCAUCAGCACAAUAACAUUCACCUCCUCUAUUUGUAUUACAAGAGCUUUUAACCUUCGAGCGUAUUAUCUAAGAAAAGAUCCCUUACAACGAACAAUCCAUCCAAAAAAGAUAUCUUAUGGUGAUGGUUGACGAAGGGGAUAUGGAAUGGGCCCUUGGUGAAGAUGUUGGUGAAGUUUGGGAGAGGGCAACGCGUGGAGAUCGUAAUAGAAAAAGGGUGACGAACACAUCUUUAGUUGUAGCUUGCUUAUGGAUUACAUGGGCAGAAAGGAACAAUAUAAUUUUCGGAGGGAUCAAUGGUAAGCCGCUGGCAGUGGUCAAUAAGGGUAGAUUGCUGGCGAAGCAAUAGGAGGAUAUUUGUGUGGACAAUCAUCACUUAUCUUAGAUUGAUUGUUAUAAUCUGGCAGAUUUUUUUGUAGACGGUUUCCAACUAUUUUUUCUUUUUCUUUUUCUUUUUUUCGAAAUUAGUUGCCUCAUUUCCGUAGCAAUCAAAUCUGAUAAACUAUUUAGGUUAUAUAGCAGUACAGUAAUUAAUGGUGCACAAAUAAUAAUAAUUAAAACACCACGUCAUUUUUACAUCAACGAUGUGUCAAAUAAAUUAAAUUGUGGGAUAUGAAAUAUGGUUAUAAUAACUCUGAAAGUUAGAGGUAAAAAUUAUAAUAAAUUAAAAUUUAAAGACUAUAGUAUCACCUAACUCAUAAUUUGAGAAUCAAACUUGCAAUUUAUCAUUCUUAAAAUUUUGAACGAUUGGAUAGUCAAAUCAAGAAAAAGUCAUACAAUUUUUUUUUUAAAUUUUUUGAUUUGUUAAGAAAGUGGAUGGUUAAGAUAUUUAGCAUAAAACUAAGGCUAAAUUACAGAAAACCCCCUUAUAAUAACCCGCUUUUUCACUUUCCCUCCCUGACAUUUAAAAACCUACACUUUGCCCUCCUGUAAAAUAAAAAAUGUUCACUUCACCCCCUACCGUUAGGGUUCCGUUAAAAAAUAUAUUUUUAUGCCGAAAAUACCCCUCCGCCAUCUCCAUGUUGCUUCGCCUCCCUCCGGCUCGCCACCUCGCCGCCUCCUUGCCGCCUCGCCGCCUAGCUGCCUCGCCGUCCUCCACUGCCACGCCCUCACCCACAUCCCCUUCGUCGUCCUCCGCCGCCUCGCCUUCGCCUUCUUUCCCCUUCUUCUACUGUCACCCACCUCGAUUUUUCCUACUGUCGCCGAAAUCGAGGAUGGCGAGGGUGCAGGAGGAGAAGGGGAGCAGGUGGAGAAGAAAAUGGAGAGAAAUCGCGACCGAUUGAGGUGGGAAUCACGGCAGAAUGAAGGGGCGGCUGAGGAGGAUAGGGAAGAAGACAACAAUGGCGAGGGGCAAAAUGGUCAUUUUACACACCGUAACCUCCUGUAAACAUUUUUCAUUUUACAGGGGGGCAAAAUGUAGGUUUUGAAAUGUCAGGGAAGAAAAGUGAAAAAGCGGGUUAUUACAGGGAGGUUUUCUAUAAUUUAACCUAAAACUAAUUAUGGCUGUACAAACCUACGCCCCCAAUUCAAAAAAUUCGACCGUUACACUCUCCCCGUCCCCAAAGAGCAAAAGUAUCUCCUUUCCUAAACCUCACAUGUUUUUAGGAGAUCAAUGGCACCGAAGGAAAACACUAACAAGACCACCUCACCAAGAACAUCCUCCUCCUCCUCCUCCUCCUCCCACCUCUCCGGCGCCAUGAUCAAGCAGAGCGUCCUAAGCCCGGGGUUCCGGUCGGUGGCCGCCAUGGCCGGGUGGGACGAGGAAGCUCUCUUGCUCGCGAGCCUCGUCGUCGAGGACACCCCGGUGCGAGAGUCCCGUCACAAGAGACGCUCCAAUCCCCACCUCAAAUCCCCUCCGAGCACCAGUUCCAACCGGUCCUCGUCGACUUCCAAAUACCCAUUUCGUCCCAUCCAUCCUCCUCGGUGCUCCUUCGAUCUCUAAUGGGCUCUUUCGGUUCUCGCAGGAAACGAAGAUCCCGAAGGCGGUCCACGAAUUUGGUCCCCCCCGUGGUUCUCUCUCUUGAUGAUGACGAGCUAAGUGAUAAGAAAGGUUCGAUCUUGUUCUUGUCUAAAUGUAAAAAUGUUGAAUUGAUUCUCGUUGGGUUCUCCAAAUUUGAUUUUUGGGUUUCGAUUGAUUCAGACUCGGGUGAUGCGAGAAAAGAAAUGGGGACUAUUGCUGCUGAGGAGAAGAAGAAGAAGCCGCCAUUAGCAGAGGGGGCUUCACCGGAGAAGCUCUCGAGCAACGCGCUCCCGUGUAUGGAUCGGCUGAGAGAGGAGCUUUCUUGCGCCGUAAUAAGCCAUUUUUUAGUUUCUCCUUGUCUCGAUUUUGGAUUGUUCUAUUGACCUUGUCCUAAUUUAAUUUAGUGUUUGCUAGAUUUGUUUGGAGAUUUGCUUCGAACCAAGCACUACUCCCUGUGGGCACAGGUAAAAAACCAAUUUUUAUUGAAUUUAGUCCUUCAAAUCCAUAGAAAAUUUUGUAUAUGAUUACUGGAUGUAAAAUGAUAGUAAGAUUUGAUAUAAUCACUGCAACUAUUUGCUCAAUCGCAAAGUUUUCUAUGGAUUUGAAGGACUAAAUUCAAUAAAAAUUGGUUUUUUACCUGUGCCCACAGGGAGUAGUGCUUGGUUCGAAGCAAAUCUCCAAACANAUUUUGUAUAUGAUUACUGGAUGUAAAAUGAUAGUAAGAUUUGAUAUAAUCACUGCAACUAUUUGCUCAAUCGCAAAGUUUUCAACUUGUUCUGUUUUAGCCUCUAUUAGCGAAUUGAAAACAUCCUUUUUCCUUUUUUCUUUUUAAUAACAGCUUCUGCAUGAAGUGCUUAAAGUGUGCUGCAGCUAAAUGCGGAAAAAGGUGUCCUAAAUGCAGGCAACUGAUCAGGUAAAAAGAAAAACAAAAAAUCUCACCUUAAAGAGUGCUCCUUUGUUAACAAUAUGAAAGGGUUUUGUAAGAAUCGAGUUCAAUGUAUUCAUUUUAUGUGUGUUUUACAGCAAUGGGAGAUCUUGCACAGUGAACACAGUUCUUUGGAACACAAUUCAGCUCCUGUUUCCGGAGGAAGUCGGGGCGAGGAAGAGCUCCACAGACCCAAAAAUCACUUCUGAUCAAAGCACCGAACCCUCUUCCGAAGGUUCAGAGCGAAGCAACAGCGACAUCACCAGAAGCAGCAGCAUGAGAAGCUACACCCAAGUUUCUGAAACAAUGGAUCGGGUGGGCAGAAGAAGGGCGGCGCCGAGCCGCCAAUCGGAGGAUGCCGCGUUGGCUUAUCGGUUGCAGAGGGAAGAGUUCAUGGUAGCUUUCCGGAGCAGCCGCGAGGAGCAGCGGAGUGCCCUCUACGCUGCUAGCGCCAAUCUCCGAUCUAUGGCCUCUAGAGCUAUUCAUUUGCGGACUAGAAGUCGGCACUCAUAAUAUGCAUGUUACCGUUAUUCCGCUUUCUGAAACAAUUUGGCAGAACAUUCAGACUAAAACACUUCAUUUGAUGGAAUUGUAUCGAAUUUCGUAGAUGUUGAUUAGCACUUUUUGGCGGUACUUAGCCCAAUAUUUGAAUUCUUCACUGUUCUAACAUGUUGUAGGAAUCCUCUUUGUUAAAGCAUUGGUGUGAUCAGAUGGAAAAAUCGAAAUAAUAUUACAGCGGUACAUUUUGCAGAUUGAUCAGAUGGAAAACACGAAUCUAAACACACAUUUUAUCGAAUUGAAUUAUCAUUAUUAUUGUUAUUAUCAUUUUAGUGUUGCAGGACAUAUUAGAAACUACUGUCCGGCCCUGGUCCAUUAUGAAUCACUAUCUCUUUUUCUUUUUUACUAAAGAAAAAAAAGGUGUUUAUCGGUUUAUGCACACCUUCGUAUUCGUGCACUACAUAAAAUUGAGAAAUGCUAGCUAUAUGUUCUAAAAAGUGGUGUAUAUCCUACACCACUUUGUCCCAAGAUUCGUGAUUUUUUAAAUUUUUUAAUAGUUUAUAAAAAAAAAUAGUUAAAAAGAUAAAAGCAAAAUAUUGAUUUUUAGAUGGAGAAUUAAUAUAAAAUUUACAAUCUUUUUAGAAUAUAUAGGUAGCAUUGCUGUUUCAUUAUAUACAACACUAUUAAUUUUUUUUUAAUUCUAAUAUACAAAUUUAGCUUUUCUGUACUAUCCACGACAUUCAUAUAUGUACUUAUUAAAAAUUAUAUUAAACUACUCACAAUUAGACGAUGAUUUCGUAAUAAAAUCUGUUUUGAAACCUCGGCAGCCAAACACUUCGGCACUGUUUGGAUUAGGAAUAAGAGGAUAUCCCUCUCCUUAUCCCUUUUAUACCCAAACGCAAAUUUUUUAUCUGAAAUAGUAGUUUUCGACUAUCUGAAAUAAGCUGGUAUAAUUAUCCUCGUCAAAACCUUCAUUUUUUAUAUAUAACUACUCAUUAUUUUUCUUAUAUCUAUCCCUAUAAUAGCUAGUUCUUGCUUAUAUCCGAACAAAACGAAGCCUUCCUGUUUAAAGGGCCCAAAAAAAAAUCUGAACAUAUUUUUACAGUUCAUCUCUUAUAUGGUAUAAAAUAGUCUGGAUUGAGCCCUGGUGCAUAGACCGCGGUGCAUGGAAUAAAUUCGGACCGGAUAAGAGAUUGGAAACAAAGAAGGAAAGGCUCUAGUGAGAGAGAGAGAGGAAACGAGAGAGAGAGCGAGCUCUUUCGCUCUCUCUUUUUCCUUGGAAAGGGAGUGAGAAGAAGCAGCAAUGGAAGUGGUGGGCGUGUCGACACGGGCUCCUCUGAUUCGCGUAUGCAGCAGCGCCGCGAAAGCGUUGAUUAACUGGGAAGUGCGAGCACUGUAUGAUGUGCAUGUACGUACGUCUUUCGGAAAUGAAUACUAGUGUAGAUUUUUUUUUUUUUUUCAGGAUGGGAGAAACUCCAAAAUAUCAUCACGUGAUUUCGUACUUUUUUAUUUUAUUAUUUUAUAAUUUAAAGUGUAUUAAAUUAAUAACUUAUGAUUUUAUAUUUUUUUACUUUAGUAUCCUGUGAUUUAAAGUGCAUCAAUUCAGUACACUGUAGUUUCAUUUUUCUCUUUUCUCCAGCUCCUUUGUUAAUAUUUCGUUAAAUUAUAUACAAAAACUUCAGAUACCCUGUAGUUUCAUUUUUCUCUUUUAUUCGGCUCCUCUCUUAAUAUUUCGUUAAAUUAUAUACAAAAAACUUCAGAUACGCACCCUACCUAACUAGAUUUAUCGAAUAUUUAUUUUAGUAUCUUUUAGUUUUAAUUUUGUCACUGAUUUUUUUUUCCUUCGUUAAUAUUUCGUUAAAUUAUAUACAAAAAACUUUAGAUAUCCUACGUAGGUUUAUCGAAUAUUUACUUUAGUACCCUUUAAUUUUAACUUUGUCACUGAUUUAACGAAAAAUUAGUGAAAUAAAUAAUAAAAAGAAAAAAAUAAAACCACAUGGCACUAACUUAAUACAUUUUAAACUUGAAACCACAUGUGGGUAAAUUGCACUAUUACCCUCUGAACUUUUGGCGAAAUUUCACUUUAUCCCUCGAACUCCUAAAAUGGACAUCUAACCCCCUAAACUCUAAUAUUUCGUUCAUAUUACCCCUUCCGUCAGUUUUCCGUCAAACUCCGUUAAUCGGAAAUUAACGAAAGGUAUAAAACGAAUGAAAUAUUAGAGUUUAACGUAUUAGAUAUCUAUUUUAGGAGUUUGGGGGUUAAGUGAAACUCGCCAAAAGUUCAAGAAGUAGUAGUGCACUUUACUCCGUAGGGGACUCUUGACUAUAAAUUAUUUUAUUAUAAUAUGUUACUUAUGGAUUGACUACUAAUCCUCAAGUUAGUGAUCAUACUUGAUUUUAAAUUCAUAUAUAUUUUUUAUCCUAAAAUAAAUCAUACCAUAAUUUAUCCUACAUUUUAUUGUAAUAAAAUAAAAGUGAAAGAAAUGAAUUAGAAUGACUUAAAGAUAAAAAAAGAUAGAUACUAACUAUCUACGAUACUCGAACACUCUACUAUUUUGGUAUACUCGCUAAUAUGGUUAAUUUACAAUAGGUGUCCUCACUCGGAUAUAGAUAAUUUAAUUCUCAGUUAAUUUUCUGUAGUACUCGUUUGUCCCUUUUAUCUUUAGAAGCAUUAUUCUAUAAAAUACACUUAAAUAAAAUUUUUAUACUUCAUUUCAGUCAAUUAGAAAUUUUUAAUAUAAAAAUAUAAAAAUAAUUUAUAGUAAAAAUUGGGGUAAAUUGUAUUGUUACUUCCUGAACUUUUUGCAAGUUUCACUUAACCCCCCAGACUCCUAACAUAGACAUCUAACACCCUAAACUUUAAUAUUUUAUUCGUUUUACCCCUUCCGUCAGUUUCCGGUUAACGGAGCUUGAUGGAAAACUGACGGAAGGGGUAAUAUAAACGAAAUAUUAGAAUUUAGGGGGUUAGAUGUUCAUUUUAGAAGUUCAAGGGGUAAAGUGAAACUUCGCCAAAAGUUCAGGGGGUAAUAAUGCAAUUUAUCCUUUACUUUAGUACCUUUUAGUUUUAAUUUUGUCACUGAUUUUUUUUUCCUUCGUUAAUAUUUCGUUAAAUUAUAUACAAAAAAACUUCAGAUAUCCUACGUAGGUUUAUCGAAUAUUUACUUUAGUAUUCUUUAAUUUUAAUUUUGUCACUGAUUUAACGAAAAAUCAGUGAAAUAAAUAAUAAAAAGAGAAAAAUGAAACCACAUGGCACUAAUUAACUUGAUACAUUUUGAACUAUAAAGUACUAAAGUAAGAAAGUGCGAAACUAUAAGAGCUAAUUUAAUACACUUUAAACCACAUGGUACUAAAGUGAGAAAGUGUGAAACCACGUGGGAGUAUUUGAAGUUUAUCCUUCUUUUUAAGAGCACCGAUGGGUGAUUACUAAAAAUAAACUCAGAUAAAAAUAUAAAGUAACUAUAUUUUCAACUUAAAAAUCUCGAAUGUCAACCAUUAAAAGUUCUUAGCUAAUUAUACUGAGAGGGCCGAUUUUUCCUACAAAUUUUUUAAAAUGUUAUUUAGAUAAGACUGUAUAAAAUUUAUCAAAAUUAUAUAUUAUUUUGAUUCUACUAGGAAAAUUUUUAAAAUAAAAAUUUUAAUAUCUAAUCUUUCAAUUUAUUUUAUUUAAAUAAUUUGAUGAUUUUUUUUUUGAAAGAUAGAUAGCACGCUAUCCGCUUCAUUUAUUUUAUUUAGAAAUAAACUUAGCUGGAAUUGUGAAUCAACUGGGAUUCGAACUUGGGACCUCGAGUACCAACCAUCAAACCCUUUGUCACUUGUUUUAGGGACGGUUGGUAAAAAAAUAAAUUUAUAGUUAUGUAAUUGUAUAAAAUAGCUAACUAAAUUGGUAAAGAUAAAUAAUAAAUUUAUAUUUUAAAGUAAAAGAAUUUGUAAUUGACGCAAAUCAAAAAAUUAAAAGUUUAGAUAGUAAAAUUAAAAUUUCUAAGUAGU
RNAcentral lists this long non-coding RNA (28137 nucleotides) under Ananas comosus (pineapple). RNAcentral's name for it is "long non-coding RNA (ACOM_LNC025332)". Lineage: Eukaryota; Viridiplantae; Streptophyta; Magnoliopsida; Poales; Bromeliaceae. The record is from RNAcentral.